GUUAGGGUUAGGGUUAGGGUUAGGGUUAGGGUUAGGGUUAGGGUUAGGGUUAGGGUUAGGGUUAGGGUUAGGGUUAGGGUUAGGGUUAGGGUUAGGGUUGGGGUUAGGGUUAGGGUUAGGGAUAGGGUUAGGGUUAGGGUUAGGGUUAGGGUUAGGGUUAGGGUAGGGUUAGGGUUAGGGUUAGGGUAGGGUUAGGGUUAGGGUUAGGCUUAGGGUUAGGGUUAGGGUUAGGGUUAGGGUUAGGGUUAGGGUUAGGCUUAGGCUUAGGGUUAGGGUUAGGGUUAUGGUUAGGGUUAGGGUUAGGUUAGGGUUAGGGGUAGGGUUAGGGGUAUGGUUAGGGUUAGUUUUAGGGUUAGGGUUAGGGUUAGGGUUAGGGUUAGGGUUCGGUUAGUGUUACGGUUAGGGUUUGGGAUAGGGUUGGGUUAGAGUUAGGCUUAGUGUUAGGGUUAGGGUUAGGUUUAGGGUUGGGUUAGGGUUAGGGUUAGGGUUAGGGGUAGGGUUAGGGUAGGGUUAGGGUUAGGGUUAGGGUUAGGGUUAGGAUUAGGGUUAGGGUUAGUGUUAGGGUUUGGGUUAGGGUUAGGGUUAGGGUUAGGGUUAGGGUAGGGUUAGGGUUAGGGUUAGGGUUAGGGAUAGGGUUAGGGUUAGGGUAGGGUUAGGGUUAGGGUUAGGGUUAGGGUUAGGGUUAAGGUUUGGGUUAGGGUUAGGGUUAGUGUUAGUUCUGGGGAUGCGUUAGGGUUAGGGUUAGGGUUAGGUUUACGGUUACGGUUAGGGUUAGGGUUCGGAUUAGGGUUACGGUUAGGGUUAGGGUUAGGGUUAGGGUAGGGUAAGGGUUAGGGUUAGGGUUAGGGUUAGGGUUUGGGUUAGGGUUAGGGUUAGGGUUAGGGUUAUUGUUAGGUUUUGGGUUAGGGUUAGGGUUAGUGUUAGGGUGUUGUGCAAAUAAUUAACUAGAAAAACAAACAAACAAGCAAACAAAAAAACACACCUGUGGGAAUACACGAAAAACUGUUCAGAGCAGAAGCUAUGUAGCAAGAUAAACAGCAUGAGAACCAAGGACAUCUCUAGAAAAAGAACGAAUGGCUCACAGCUCUGAUUGGAUAAGCGUCCACAAGAACGGUUGAAGAGCGUUUGUAGAAUACUUUGUUGACAUGUAAAGGUGGAUGGGAAAGUUGUAGGGGUGGAUGGGAAAGCUAGAAAAAGAAAACUUGUGAAGGUAUAUAAGUGAUGUGAGAACUUGUAAUAAAUGAUUUGGAUCGUUCACAUCUGAGUCUGUGCAUCAGGCACUGCACAGACCCAAAUUAGGAAGCUGCAGACAAGCAGCUUUUCCAAAUAAACUAAUUAAUGUCAAUAGUAAUGACAGUGAUUUUUAAAAAUUUCUUGCAAGUAGAUGAACUUUCAUUCCUUGGAGAGUUGACUGUAGAGACGUUCUGAUGAGAUCUAUAAUAUAUAUCAGUGUCAUUAGUUAAUUGAGCAGUUACUGGAAUGCAUGUAGUAAUACACAAAGGUUUUGUUUCGAGAUUAACUUGCCAUCUUUGUGGCCCUACUCCUCAUAAGACUUUUGCUCCACACCCUUCACCAGCUUCAUUGCUAUUCUCUGGACAUGCUCCAGGGCCUCAAUAUUUUCUUGUACUGAAUGGCUCGAAACUGAACACAGUACUUGGGUGCAGCCUCAUCAGUGCCAAGUACAGAAGGAUGAUCACCUCUCUAGUCCUUUCCUUAUUGGUCACCUGGGCAUGCUGCUCUCGUGUUCAUCCAGCUUUUGACUAAUACCCCCAGAUUCUUUUCCGUGGUGCAGCU
This is a long non-coding RNA of Gallus gallus (chicken), 1794 nucleotides long. NCBI's taxonomy places the organism in Eukaryota, Metazoa, Chordata, Aves, Galliformes, Phasianidae. The record is from Ensembl.